Molecule: long non-coding RNA, 348 nt
Filed under: Androctonus crassicauda
Lineage: Eukaryota; Metazoa; Arthropoda; Arachnida; Scorpiones; Buthidae
Source: RNAcentral
AAAUACGUUGUAAAUCUAUAGUUAUAUAUGAAAAGCCUACAGAAAAAAUGUGGCUGUGGUUCUGAAUACUCCCCGCUCCAGAACUUAUUUUUUCACUUCCUAGCAGUGGAAUGGUUGGAGAAAUGACUUCUUUGACUUGUCCCUGUGCGGCGGGGUUCGUCAUUUCCGCAAGGAUUCGAUUAUGUUUUAAUAAAUUGUUGAUCUGCUUUCUUACUUAUAAGAGGACAUUUCGUUUUCCCUGCUCUGCUCUGUGCAUGCGCAUUUCCGUUCGCCUCGCUGCUGUCUGCGUUUCGCUUCGCGUGUUCCGUGCCACUGCCAGAGAUCGCAUGUGGUCGGCGUCGCAUCCCG